UAAAGAGUAAAUUUAUACCAAAAAAUUAAAAGUUAAGAUCUUAAAAGUUAAAUAUUUUGGCGGUGUUUUAGUCUUUUCAGAGGAACCUGUUCUUUAAUUGAUACUCCACAAUAAAAUUUACUUUUUUUAGAAAUUUAUAUAUCGUUGUUAAAGUUAUUUUUGUUGAAAAUAAUAAUUAAAAUUUUAUAAGAAAGAAAUUCAGAUCAAGGUGUAGUUUAUAAGAAAGUAGAAAUGGGUUACUAUUAUUAAAUUCAGAUAAAGUUUUAAAAAAAUUAUUGAAGUUGGAUUUGAAAGUAAUAUUAAUUAUUUUAUUAAUAUGAUAAAGCUCUAAAAUAUGU
This 338-nucleotide ribosomal RNA is filed under the name Apolinus sp. CO821. Its description in RNAcentral is "partial 12S ribosomal RNA". Lineage: Eukaryota; Metazoa; Arthropoda; Insecta; Coleoptera; Coccinellidae. The record is from RNAcentral.